GCGUCUGAGUGGGAGUUGCAAGUUAGUCCUGCCGCCUAUCCGCCAUCUUCAAACCCACAAUUUUUUUUUUUUUUUUUAGUUGUAGCCUUUAAAUACAUCUUAAUUAACUGAAAAGCCCUUGAAAAAGCAAGAAAAAGUCAAAGAAAGUAUUUCAAGAUAAAGGUCUCUUCACUGAUAAUUUGGGAACAACUGACUUUCCUCUAGAGGAUUUGAACUGGAGGAGGCUUGAAGUUGAACAAUGGAACUCUCAGUACCAACUUCCCUUUACAGUCUGAUCUCAGAAAUCUGACAGCCAGUUGUAUUCCCCCAGACCCUCUACCUUCACCUGUACUGAGGUUGUCCCACAUGGCAGUUUCAGGCGCAAUUCUUCUGGAGAUGACAAAGGGCAGGAAGGUGCUUCAGAUUCAUGUUUCCAUGUGAUGUUUUUCUUCCAUCUGAAAAACUACUAGAAUUCAGCAAGCAUCUUCAGUCAUGGAAGGACAUUUUGCAAUAUUUGUUGCUGUCAUCAUCAUAAAGAUUACAAAUGAUCUAUUUCCCUGCCACUCAGUGUGUAUCUUCUAGGAUCAAACAUCAAACCAAAGAUGGCAGAAAUGCAUUCAGAGCCUCAUUUUAUGACUUUACUUUGCUUAUUGCAUUUCUUUUCUUGGAAAUGUAAUUGCUUUAGAAUUACUGGGAUCAUGGGAAAAGCAUGCCAUCAAGAAAGUAAGCGAUUGAGUGGGGGAAAAGUAAUAAAGUCAAUUUAUUUAAGU
RNAcentral lists this long non-coding RNA (749 nucleotides) under Homo sapiens (human). Its description in RNAcentral is "CFAP20DC divergent transcript". Lineage: Eukaryota; Metazoa; Chordata; Mammalia; Primates; Hominidae. The record is from RNAcentral.